GUAGUCUGCACAGAUGCAUAUCAAUAAGCGGAGGAAAAGAAACUAACAAGGAUUCCCCUAGUAACGGCGAGUGAAGCGGGAAGAGCUCAAAUUUGAAAUCUUAAAGGGUUUCCCUUUACGAAUUGUAGUUUAAAGAAGUGUUUUCUGUUGAGGUUUUGGUAAAAGUUCUUUGGAAUAGGACAUCAUAGAGGGUGAGAAUCCCGUAUUUGACCUUUACUUUCAACUUUGUGAUACACUUUCAAAGAGUCGGAUUGUUUGGGAAUGCAGUCCAAAAUGGGUGGUGAAUUUCAUCUAAAGCUAAAUAUUGGCGAGAGACCGAUAGCGAACAAGUACCGUGAGGGAAAGAUGAAAAGAACUUUGAAAAGAGAGUUAAACAGUACGUGAAAUUGUCAAAAGGGAAGCGUUUGACACCAGUGUUGUUUUUCUGAAAAUCAAUUAAAGAACUGUUUAUGCUAAGUUGUUUAGACUUUAUCAGCUAACUGUUUAGUUUUGAGCUUUUCUUUAAUGCACUUUUCAGUUAACAAGUCAACAUCAAUUUCUUUUGCUGUAAAAGAGCUUGAGGAAGGUGGCUUGAGAUUCGUCUUAAGUGUUUAUAGCCUCUUGCCUAUGCAGUCGGAGAGAUUGAGGUCUGCAGCGUAGAUCCUCCGGGGCUAAAUGCAUUUGUGCUAAGUUAUAGCAUUUUAUAGACAACUUGUUGACUAUGAUUUGUCUUGUAGCUUACUCGCUUAUGUUAUUUUACCUACGCUUAGGAUGUUGACAGCAGUAUAGACUGU
This 773-nucleotide ribosomal RNA is filed under the name uncultured Neocallimastigales. RNAcentral describes it as "partial large subunit ribosomal RNA". It matches the Rfam family "Eukaryotic large subunit ribosomal RNA", at positions 24 to 637 of the family's 3401-position model. The record is from RNAcentral. Lineage: Eukaryota; Fungi; Neocallimastigomycota; Neocallimastigomycetes; Neocallimastigales.